GCAGACGUCCCUUCCCCAGCCAGGCUGCCACCUCGCAGUUCAAUCUCAGACUGCUGUGCUAGCAGUGGGGAAGGCUCCGUGGGCAUGGAAACUGCCGAGCCAGGCACAGUAGAGAAUCACCUUGUCUGCCGGUUGCUAAGACCUUUGGAAAAGUGCAGUAUUUGGGUGAGAGUGUCCUAUUUUUCCAGGUACAGUCUGUCACGUCUUCCCUUGGCUAGGAAAGGGAAAUCCCCCGACCCCUUACACUUUCCGGGUGAGGCAACGCCCCACUCUGCUUCAGCUCACCCUCCAUGGGCUGCACUCACCUUCCAACCAGUCUCAAUGAGAUGAACCAGGUACCUCAGUUGGAAAUGCAGAAAUCACCCGUCUUCUGCGUCAAUCACGCUGAGAACUGCAGACCAGAGCUGUUCCUAUUUGGCCAUCUUGGAACCGGUCUGAGUCUGUUUUAGCCAGAUCAAGUACUUGUCAGUAAAGAUUGGAAGAGGUAACUCCUUUUUCAAAUGCGAAGAUAGUAGUGAAAGACUUCAAAGAAUGCAAAAAAUCAAGGACACAUGACUUCACUAAAGGAACACGAUAAUAUAUCAGUAACCAUCCCAAAGAAAUGGAGAUCUAUAAAUUGCCUGAUGAAGGAUUCAAAAUAAUUGUUCUAAGGAACCCCAGCAAACUACAAGAGAAAACAGACAACUCAGUGAACUCAGAAAAAAUACAUGAACAAAAUUAGAAGUUCAAUAAAGUGAUAGAAAUUAUAAAAAAGAUACAAGCAGAAAUUCUGGAACUGAAUAAUAUAAUUAAAUGAAAAAUUCAAUAGAGAGCUUCAGACGCAGACUUAAGCAGAAGAAAAAAUCUCUGAGCACAGACAGAUUAGAUAAAAUUAUCCAG
RNAcentral lists this long non-coding RNA (879 nucleotides) under Homo sapiens (human). Its description in RNAcentral is "CDC42EP3 antisense RNA 1". Lineage: Eukaryota; Metazoa; Chordata; Mammalia; Primates; Hominidae. The record is from RNAcentral.